This 352-nucleotide unclassified non-coding RNA is filed under the name soil metagenome. RNAcentral describes it as "partial contains 5.8S ribosomal RNA, internal transcribed spacer 2, and large subunit ribosomal RNA". The stretch from base 1 to 120 matches the Rfam family "5.8S ribosomal RNA", at positions 35 to 154 of the family's 154-position model. The record is from RNAcentral.
GAUGAAGAACGCAGCGAAAUGCGAUAAGUAAUGUGAAUUGCAGAAUUCAGUGAAUCAUCGAAUCUUUGAACGCACAUUGCGCCCGCCAGUAUUCUGGCGGGCAUGCCUGUUCGAGCGUCAUUACAACCCUCAGGCCCCCGGGCCUGGCGUUGGGGAUCGGCGGAGCCCCCCGUGGGCACACGCCGCCCCCCAAAUACAGUGGCGGUCCCGCCGCAGCUUCCAUCGCGUAGUAGCUAACACCUCGCGACUGGAGAGCGGCGCGGCCACGCCGUAAAACACCCAACUCUUCUGAAGUUGACCUCGAAUCAGGUAGGAAUACCCGCUGAACUUAAGCAUAUCAAUAAGCGGAGGA